This 663-nucleotide ribosomal RNA is filed under the name uncultured archaeon. RNAcentral's name for it is "bacterial SSU rRNA". It matches the Rfam family "Archaeal small subunit ribosomal RNA", at positions 690 to 1352 of the family's 1478-position model. The record is from RNAcentral.
UCCGACGGUGAGGGAUGAAGGCUGGGGGCGCAAACCGGAUUAGAUACCCGGGUAGUCCCAGCAGUAAACGAUGCCAGCUAUGUGUUGCUGAAACCAUGGGUUCCAGCAGUGCCGAAGGGAAGCCGUGAAGCUGGCCACCUGGGAAGUACGGUCGCAAGGCUGAAACUUAAAGGAAUUGGCGGGGGAGUACCACAACCGGUGGAGCCUGCGGUUUAAUUGGAUACAACGCCGGGAAUCUUACCGGAGGGGACAGCAGUAUGAAGGCCAGGCUAAAGACCUUGCCAGAUCAGCUGAGAGGAGGUGCAUGGCCGUCGCCAGUUCGUACCGUGAGGCAUCCUGUUUAGUCAGGCAACGAUCGAGACCCGCAGUCUUAUUUGCCAGCAUGCCCUUUGGGGUGUAUGGGUACAAUAAGACGACCGCCAGCGCUAAGCUGGAGGAAGGAGCGGGCUACGGUAGGUCAGCAUGCCCCGAAUCCUCCGGGAUACACGCGGGCUACAAUGGUCAGGACAAAAGGUACCGACCUCGAAAGAGUGAGGUAAUCCACAAACCUGAUCUCAGUCCGGAUCGAAGGCUGCAACUCGCCUUCGUGAAGAUGGAAUCGGUAGUAAUCGUGACUCAAAAUGUCACGGUGAAUAUGUCCCUGCUCCUUGCACACACCGACCG